RNAcentral lists this ribosomal RNA (254 nucleotides) under uncultured bacterium. RNAcentral's name for it is "partial 16S ribosomal RNA". It matches the Rfam family "Bacterial small subunit ribosomal RNA", at positions 524 to 776 of the family's 1533-position model. The record is from RNAcentral.
UACGUAGGGUGCGAGCGUUGUCCGGAAUUAUUGGGCGUAAAGAGCUCGUAGGCGGUGUGUCGCGUCGGCCGUGAAAACCUGCAGCUUAACUGUGGGCUUGCGGUCGAUACGGGCAUCACUGGAGUUCGGCAGGGGAGACUGGAAUUCCUGGUGUAGCGGUGAAAUGCGCAGAUAUCAGGAGGAACACCGGUGGCGAAGGCGGUUCUCUGGGCAUGUCCUGACGCUGAGGAGCGAAAGUGUGGGGAGCGAACAGG